AUACGUAGGGAGCGAGCGUUGUCCGGAAUUACUGGGCGUAAAGGGCGCGUAGGCGGCGCUUCAAGUCGUCUGUCAAAUGGAAGGGCUUAACCCUUUUUCGCAGACGAAACUGGAGAGCUUGAGAAGCAGAGAGGCAAACAGAAUUCCUGGUGUAGCGGUGAAAUGCGUAGAUAUCAGGAAGAAUACCAGUGGCGAAGGCGGUUUGCGGGCUGCAUACUGACGCUGAAGCGCGAAAGCCAGGGGAGCGAACGGGAUUAGAUACCCCGGUAGUCCUGGCAGUAAACGAUGUAUGCUGGGUGUGAGACUAGCGAUAGUUUCGUGCCGAAGUUAACGCGAUAAGCAUACCGCCUGGGGAGUACGGUCGCAAGAUUGAAACUCAAAGGAAUUGACGGGG
This 394-nucleotide ribosomal RNA is filed under the name uncultured bacterium. RNAcentral describes it as "partial 16S ribosomal RNA". It matches the Rfam family "Bacterial small subunit ribosomal RNA", at positions 523 to 918 of the family's 1533-position model. The record is from RNAcentral.